CAUGAGUAAUAGCUUAAACACUAAAUUCUUAGAAAAUAUAAUGAUCCUUAUUGACGGGGGUAUUGUUAAUUAUGCUAAAUCUAAAUCAUUAGAGAGCGGCAUGAUUGGAAUAAAACCAAGGUCUUCUCAUGAUCGAGAGUCGAAUUUUACCCACAACAUUAAUUUUAGCUGGUAAUUAUAAAUUGUGAUGGCGUGUAGAUACAAAAAUUAUGAAAGAAAAAGAAGGUUA
RNAcentral lists this long non-coding RNA (229 nucleotides) under Prunus persica (peach). RNAcentral's name for it is "long non-coding RNA (PPER_LNC002774)". The record is from RNAcentral. Lineage: Eukaryota; Viridiplantae; Streptophyta; Magnoliopsida; Rosales; Rosaceae.